AGCGUUACUCGGAAUCACUGGGCGUAAAGGGUGCGUAGGCUGACUUUUAAGUCAGGCGUGAAAUCCAAUGGCUUAACCAUUGAACUGCGCUUGAAACUGGGAGUCUAGAGUUCAGAAGGGGCAGAUGGAAUUAGUGGUGUAGGGGUAAAAUCCGUAGAUAUCACUAGGAAUAUCAAAAGCGAAGGCGAUCUGCUGGGAUGAUACUGACGCUGAGGCACGAAAGCGUGGGGAGCAAACAGGAUUAGAUACCCUGGUAGUCCACGCCCUAAACGAUGAAUG
Molecule: ribosomal RNA, 279 nt
Filed under: uncultured bacterium
Lineage: Bacteria
Description: partial 16S ribosomal RNA
Rfam family: Bacterial small subunit ribosomal RNA
Source: RNAcentral